RNAcentral lists this ribosomal RNA (2900 nucleotides) under Candidatus Portiera aleyrodidarum (primary endosymbiont of Bemisia tabaci). RNAcentral's name for it is "bacterial LSU rRNA". It matches the Rfam family "Bacterial large subunit ribosomal RNA". Lineage: Bacteria; Pseudomonadati; Pseudomonadota; Gammaproteobacteria; Johnevansiales (SeqCode); Johnevansiaceae (SeqCode). The record is from RNAcentral.
UAAAGCGAUUAAGCGCAUAUGGUGGAUGCCUAGGCAGUCAAAGGCGAUGAAAGACGUGACAGCCUGCGUUAAACGCCGGUUAGGUGGCGAGUAACUUAUAACCCGGCGAAUUCUGAAUAGGGUAACCUACUGAAAAGACAGGAUCUGUAGGGGAAGAUAUAACUUACAGAAGCAAACCAAGGGAACUGAAACAUCUAAUUACCUUGAGGAAAAGAAAUCAAAUGAGAUUCCCUUAGUAGUGGCGAGCGAAAAGGGAAAAGCCCAUUAAGCAAUUAUAUAAGUUAGAUAAAACAGAUGGAAAGCUGUACCAGAGUAGGUGAUAGUCCUGUAAUUUAAAACUUAUUAAUUGUGAAAUAGAGUAGGUCGGGGCACGAGAAACCUUGACUGAAGAAGGGGGGACCAUCCUCCAAGGCUAAAUACUAUUGACUGACCGAUAGUGAACAAGUACCGUGAGGGAAAGGUGAAAAGAACCCUAGUUAAGGGAGUGAAAUAGAUCCUGAAACCGUAUGCGUACAAGCAGUGGAAGCCUAAAAAAUCAAGGUAACUGCGUACCUUUUGUAUAAUGGGUCAGCGAGUUAUUUUCGGUAGCAAGCUUAACCGGAUAGGGGAGGCGCAGGGAAACCGAGUCUUAAAUGGGCGUAUAGUUGCCGGAAAUAGACCCGAAACCGAGCGAUCUAUCCAUGAGCAGGUUGAAAAUUAAGUAACAUUAAUUGGAGGACCGAACCGGGGUCUGUUGAAAAAGACUCGGAUGACUUGUGGAUCGGAGUGAAAGGCUAAUCAAGCUCGGAGAUAGCUGGUUCUCCUCGAAAGCUAUUUAGGUAGCGCCUUAUGUAUUACCAUUGGGGGUAGAGCACUGUUUCGGGGGAGAGUCAUCUAGACUUACUAAAACGAGGCAAACUACGAAUACCAAUGAGUGCAGCAUAGGAGACACACUAUGGGUGCUAACAUCCAUAGUGGAAAGGGAAAGAACCCAGACCGUCAGCUAAGGUCCCAAAAUCUUAGUUAAGUGGAAAACGAUGUGGGAAGACUAAGACAGCUAGGAGGUUGGCUUAGAAGCAGCCACCCUUUAAAGAAAGCGUAAUAGCUCACUAGUCUAGUUCUCCAGCGCGGAAAAUAUAACGGGGCUAAAACUAAGUGCCGAAGCUACGGGUUUAUAUUGAAAAUAUAAGCGGUAGAGGAGCGUUGUGUAAGUCUGGGAAGGUAUAUUGUAAAGUAUACUGGAGAUAUCACAAGUGCGAAUGCUGACAUGAGUAACGAUAAGGGAUGUGAGAAACAUCCCCGCCGAAAAACUAAGGUUUUCUGUUCCACGUUAAUCGAAGCAGAGUUAGUCGGUCCUAAGGUGAGGCUGAAAAGCGUAAUCGAUGGAAAACUGGUUAAUAUUCCCGUACCAUAUGUAUAUUGCGAUGGGGUGACGGAGAAGGCUAGGCGAGCCCAGCGGUGGUUGUCUGGGUAAAAAUAUGUAGGUUUAGAAAUUAGGUAAAUCCGAUUUCUUAAUAAAACUAAGGUAUGAAACGAAACUAACUUAUUAAAGUUAGUGAAGUCGUUGAAGCCAUGCUUCCAGGAAAAACCUCUAAGCGUCAGAUUACAUAUGACCGUACCACAAACCGACACAGGUGGUUAAGUAGAGUAUACUAAGGCGUUUGAGAGAACUCGGGUGAAGGAACUAGGCAAAAUGGCACCGUAACUUCGGGAGAAGGUGCGCCGAAUUAUUGUAAAACCUAUAAACAGGUAAAGCAAGAAUCGGUCGAAGAUACCAGGUGGCUGCAACUGUUUAUUAAAAACACAGCACUCUGCUAACGCGUAAGCGGAUGUAUAGAGUGUGACGCCUGCCCAGUGCUGGAAGGUUAAUUGAGAGGGUAAGCUAUAACAAGCAAAGCUCUUAAUCGAAGCCCCAGUAAACGGCGGCCGUAACUAUAACGGUCCUAAGGUAGCGAAAUUCCUUGUCGGGUAAGUUCCGACCUGCACGAAUGGCGUAAUGAUGGCCACACUGUCUCCAUCCGAGACUCAGUGAAAUUGAAAUUGCUGUGAAGAUGCAGUAUACCCACGGUAAGACGGAAAGACCCCGUGAACCUUUACUAUAGCUUCAUAUUGAAAGUGGAGAUUAUUUGUGUAGGAUAGCUGGGAGACAGUGAAGUAAAACCGCUAGGUUUUAUAGAGUCAGCCUUGAAAUACCAGCCUAAUAUUAUUUACUUUCUAACUUAAUACCGUUAUCCGGUAUAAGGACAGUGUGUGGUGGGUAGUUUGACUGGGGCGGUCUCCUCCCAAAGAGUAACGGAGGAGCGCAAAGGUACCCUCAGUACGGUCGGAAAUCGUACGUAGAGUGUAAGAGCAUAAGGGUGCUUAACUGCGAGACCAACAAGUCGAGCAGAUACGAAAGUAGGUUCUAGUGAUCCGGUGGUUGCUGUAUGGAAGGGCCAUCGCUCAACGAAUAAAAGGUACUCCGGGGAUAACAGGCUAAUACCGCCCAAGAGUUCACAUCGACGGCGGUGUUUGGCACCUCGAUGUCGGCUCAUCACAUCCUGGGGCUGAAGCAGGUCCCAAGGGUAUGGCUGUUCGCCAUUUAAAGUGGUACGCGAGCUGGGUUUAGAACGUCGUGAGACAGUUCGGUCCCUAUCUACCGCGGGCGUAGGAAGUUUGAGAAGAGCUAUUCUUAGUACGAGAGGACCAGAGUGGACGAACCACUGGUGUUCCGGUUGUCAUGCCAAUGGCAUAGCCGGGUAGCUAAGUUCGGAAGGGAUAACUGCUGAAAGCAUAUAAGCGGGAAGCCCACUUCAAGAUAAGACUUCCCAGGGUAAUACCCCUAAAGGACCCUUGAAGAUGACGAGGUUGAUAGGCACGGUGUGGAAGAGUGGUAAACACUUUAAGCUAACGUGUACUAAUAGUCCGUGAGGCUUUAUCAU